This 344-nucleotide unclassified non-coding RNA is filed under the name fungal sp. RNAcentral describes it as "partial internal transcribed spacer region". Lineage: Eukaryota; Fungi. The record is from RNAcentral.
AGGGACAAGGUUUCCGUAGGUGAACCUGCGGAAGGAUCAUUAACACGUAUCCAACGUUAAUGUGAACUUUUACACUUGCUCUCGGAGCCCGGAAAAUCAUUGUUGAACAGAUUUUAUUCAGGGACCUCAGUUUGGUGAGUUAGAUCCGAGCGAUCGUUGCAAGUGGCCUGUUUCCCCAAGCAGUCAGUGUCUCAAAGUGUCAAUUGAUUGUGUAAGGAUAACACUUUUCGAUCACUAGGCCGACAGGUCGCAGUGGCUUCGGCCCCCUAUGUUCACCCCACGACCUGAAGUGGCCUCGUAGGAAACUGCUGGACAUCAAAACGAGCAUGGAUAUCUUGGUUCUC